UUCUUGUUGGAUAAUGACUGUGUCAUGUGUCAUGUUCUGAUUGGAUGUCAACUUCAUGAAAGAUGAAAUGAAUUUUUGUUUUCAUUGACCAAUCAGAACAUGACACGCGACAGUUAUCAUUC
Non-coding RNA from Glycine soja, 122 nucleotides. The record is from Rfam. Lineage: Eukaryota; Viridiplantae; Streptophyta; Magnoliopsida; Fabales; Fabaceae.